AAGAUGCUGCCCGUGAGAGCCUCGCAGAAGCUGGGGCUGGGGUGGGACUGGAAAGCCGGAGAGAUUUAAAGCUUGGACCAUGACCCGGAAGUUCAAGUUCAGUGACCAGAAGCAGGUUCUUAGGGUGAACCGGGAAGUUCAUUUGGGCCCUGUGACAUGUAGUGCGGAUCUUAAGAAACCAAGUGUUAAGUGUUCAUGCUUCUUUCCUUUCGAAGCUGUAGGAGUAGGGGUGACAUGCGCCGCAGUGGAUCCAACUUUCUGGAGAAGGGACAAGUUGCAGCGCUCCCAAUGUGAUCGACUUUAGAGUUUUUGGAAAGACUUCUUGCUAAGAUGGCAGCUUGAGUAACGACCAGAGGAGUAGAAGCAACUAAUUUGAGCCAUCAAAUGCACAGCUAGUAAACAAGUCUGCUGCCUGCCUGACAGCCUGAGUUGGAUUCCCAGCAACCCGCAUGGCAGGAAGGAGAGGUCUGACUUCGCUGAGGUGUCUUCUCACUCCCACACGUGUUUUGGCACACACACGUGCAUACGUAGUACCCCUACCGUAAGUAAAAGAAGUGUAAUUUAAAACA
Molecule: non-coding RNA, 569 nt
Organism: Rattus norvegicus (Norway rat)
Lineage: Eukaryota; Metazoa; Chordata; Mammalia; Rodentia; Muridae
Source: RefSeq, a predicted model, not a curated record